CUCUGGUAUUGAUUGGUGCUUGCAUCAUGAUUUACAUUUGAGUGAGUGGCGAACUGGUGAGUAACACGUGGGAAACCUGCCCAGAAGCGGGGGAUAACACCUGGAAACAGAUGCUAAUACCGCAUAACAACUUGGACCGCAUGGUCCGAGCUUGAAAGAUGGCUUCGGCUAUCACUUUUGGAUGGUCCCGCGGCGUAUUAGCUAGAUGGUGGGGUAACGGCUCACCAUGGCAAUGAUACGUAGCCGACCUGAGAGGGUAAUCGGCCACAUUGGGACUGAGACACGGCCCAAACUCCUACGGGAGGCAGCAGUAGGGAAUCUUCCACAAUGGACGAAAGUCUGAUGGAGCAACGCCGCGUGAGUGAAGAAGGGUUUCGGCUCGUAAAACUCUGUUGUUAAAGAAGAACAUAUCUGAGAGUAACUGUUCAGGUAUUGACGGUAUUUAACCAGAAAGCCACGGCUAACUACGUGCCAGCAGCCGCGGUAAUACGUAGGUGGCAAGCGUUGUCCGGAUUUAUUGGGCGUAAAGCGAGCGCA
RNAcentral lists this ribosomal RNA (537 nucleotides) under Lactiplantibacillus plantarum. RNAcentral describes it as "bacterial SSU rRNA". It matches the Rfam family "Bacterial small subunit ribosomal RNA", at positions 70 to 573 of the family's 1533-position model. The record is from RNAcentral. Lineage: Bacteria; Bacillati; Bacillota; Bacilli; Lactobacillales; Lactobacillaceae.